RNAcentral lists this unclassified non-coding RNA (289 nucleotides) under soil metagenome. Its description in RNAcentral is "partial contains small subunit ribosomal RNA, internal transcribed spacer 1, and 5.8S ribosomal RNA". The record is from RNAcentral.
UUUCCGUAGGUGAACCUGCGGAAGGAUCAUUAACACGUACCCACACGUACAAACUCCACUCUUGGGCGUACUAAAUUGAAAACCCCAAUCUUUAUGGAUUGUAGGUAGAUUUUACCAUCUACUUUCCAAUUCAUCUAGAUUGCAUUUUAUAAAUAAUAACCCAACAUUCUCAAUUGGACUAACAAACAUGUGCAUAACCAUUCGAGAGUGGCCUCACGGCUGCUCGAGAAAGGAUAUCUCAAAAAACUAAAACGAUGAACAACUUUUAGCAACGGAUAUCUUGGUUCUC